UUCACUCUCCAACCGUAAAUACUAGAGCCGUAUGUCCAAGACCUAGCUUCCAUAGGUGCAGACUUCAACAGUUUAUCUACCCAACCACAAAAAUUAGGAAUAUUCUCCACGAGUCCCAUGGUUCCUAAAGAAAAAUAUAAUAAUAUAAAGUUAAAGAAAUUGAUAAAGUCGAAAGAAAGAGGUACGGCCAAGGAUAAGAAACUUAUGUGAAAAAUUCCACUUCUCAGGGACACCAGGCACGAUCCUUGUCAUCUUUCGGAAUCUCCAACACUAUCUUACUCCUAGCUACUAAGGUGAAAACUCCAUUACGAAAUAACCUAGGGGGAUAGAGGUGAAUUAGGUAAGGGAAGGUAAAAUUAAUAUCUGCC
Molecule: long non-coding RNA, 368 nt
Filed under: Nicotiana benthamiana
Lineage: Eukaryota; Viridiplantae; Streptophyta; Magnoliopsida; Solanales; Solanaceae
Description: long non-coding RNA (NBEN_LNC032553)
Source: RNAcentral